Molecule: non-coding RNA, 981 nt
Organism: Hydra vulgaris (swiftwater hydra)
Lineage: Eukaryota; Metazoa; Cnidaria; Hydrozoa; Anthoathecata; Hydridae
Source: RefSeq, a predicted model, not a curated record
GUCUUUUUUAUGUAUUACUAAGAUUUUCCUUUUAUUUUAACUAUUUGGGUGUCCUAUUAUAUGUAAUGUUGUUAAGUUGGUUACAUAUAUUUAUAUCAUUGACAACAUUCUAUUGUAUUAAAUAAUCCUUUAAUCAACUUGAGAUGAAAAUUGAAAACUGAUUGAAAGCAUGCUGAAGUUGUUUGAAUUCAGAAAUUGAAAGAGUACAAAAUUGGUUGAAAGAUUAAAUUAAGUAACAGGUAUGGUUGAGGGAUUAUUUAUAGUUCUAAAUAUAAUUAUUUCUUUUGAAUAAAGUUGUUAUCAGAUUCAAAGGUUGAAGAAGAUAAUUUUUCUUCACAUUUUAUUGAUGAACACCAAGCAAAGUUCACAUUGUCAAAGAGUUUUAAGUUUUAAUGUGAGUAAUUUUGGUAUUUACACCACUGAAUGUUAAUGUGGAGGUAUUUUUUAUUAAUUUGUUUUUGUAUUAAAAUAAUUGAUAAAGUUUUAGCUGAUUUAAAAAGUAGGUUUUCCGAAAUAUUAUGGCAACUUCUGUGAUGGAGUAAUAAAAAAACUUACAUGUGUUUUUGGAAUUUUAGUUUAAGUUACUCAAGCAUAAUUUGAAUUUUAAAGUUCUUAUUUCAUUGUAUUGCUAUUUGGUUUUAUGAGCUAAAUAUGUUAAUCAAUCUUUUUAUUCUUGUUUGUAGAGAUGCAAAAUGUUAUUCUCAACAAGCUUGCAGAAAUAAAAGUUCUUUUAAAAGAAGUUAUAGAAAUUAAGUUUCAGGCUACUGGGGUGAAGUUGCUAGAAUCAGUGGACGAAGUGGUUACACUGGAUAAUAAACUAAAAGAUAAAACCGAGUAUACUAAUUUGAAAUAUGAUUAAAAGGGACCAAAAGCAAUUCUUUUUGACCGUUAUUUGUUAUGGAUUUACUUUUAACAUGACAAUUUGAUAAACUCGGGAGCUUCGCUGUAGGUGUUUAAGUUUGUUUAUGUGCUAAAGUAAGU